RNAcentral lists this ribosomal RNA (2592 nucleotides) under Escherichia coli. RNAcentral's name for it is "partial 23S ribosomal RNA". It matches the Rfam family "Bacterial large subunit ribosomal RNA", at positions 362 to 2925 of the family's 2925-position model. Lineage: Bacteria; Pseudomonadati; Pseudomonadota; Gammaproteobacteria; Enterobacterales; Enterobacteriaceae. The record is from RNAcentral.
GGGUGACAGCCCCGUACACAAAAAUGCACAUAUUGUGAGCUCGAUGAGUAGGGCGGGACACGUGGUAUCCUGUCUGAAUAUGGGGGGACCAUCCUCCAAGGCUAAAUACUCCUGACUGACCGAUAGUGAACCAGUACCGUGAGGGAAAGGCGAAAAGAACCCCGGCGAGGGGAGUGAAAAAGAACCUGAAACCGUGUACGUACAAGCAGUGGGAGCCUCUUUAUGGGGUGACUGCGUACCUUUUGUAUAAUGGGUCAGCGACUUAUAUUCUGUAGCAAGGUUAACCGAAUAGGGGAGCCGAAGGGAAACCGAGUCUUAACUGGGCGUUAAGUUGCAGGGUAUAGACCCGAAACCCGGUGAUCUAGCCAUGGGCAGGUUGAAGGUUGGGUAACACUAACUGGAGGACCGAACCGACUAAUGUUGAAAAAUUAGCGGAUGACUUGUGGCUGGGGGUGAAAGGCCAAUCAAACCGGGAGAUAGCUGGUUCUCCCCGAAAGCUAUUUAGGUAGCGCCUCGUGAAUUCAUCUCCGGGGGUAGAGCACUGUUUCGGCAAGGGGGUCAUCCCGACUUACCAACCCGAUGCAAACUGCGAAUACCGGAGAAUGUUAUCACGGGAGACACACGGCGGGUGCUAACGUCCGUCGUGAAGAGGGAAACAACCCAGACCGCCAGCUAAGGUCCCAAAGUCAUGGUUAAGUGGGAAACGAUGUGGGAAGGCCCAGACAGCCAGGAUGUUGGCUUAGAAGCAGCCAUCAUUUAAAGAAAGCGUAAUAGCUCACUGGUCGAGUCGGCCUGCGCGGAAGAUGUAACGGGGCUAAACCAUGCACCGAAGCUGCGGCAGCGACACUAUGUGUUGUUGGGUAGGGGAGCGUUCUGUAAGCCUGUGAAGGUGGCCUGUGAGGGUUGCUGGAGGUAUCAGAAGUGCGAAUGCUGACAUAAGUAACGAUAAAGCGGGUGAAAAGCCCGCUCGCCGGAAGACCAAGGGUUCCUGUCCAACGUUAAUCGGGGCAGGGUGAGUCGACCCCUAAGGCGAGGCCGAAAGGCGUAGUCGAUGGGAAACAGGUUAAUAUUCCUGUACUUGGUGUUACUGCGAAGGGGGGACGGAGAAGGCUAUGUUGGCCGGGCGACGGUUGUCCCGGUUUAAGCGUGUAGGCUGGUUUUCCAGGCAAAUCCGGAAAACCAAGGCUGAGGCGUGAUGACGAGGCACUACGGUGCUGAAGCGACAAAUGCCCUGCUUCCAGGAAAAGCCUCUAAGCAUCAGGUAACAUCAAAUCGUACCCCAAACCGACACAGGUGGUCAGGUAGAGAAUACCAAGGCGCUUGAGAGAACUCGGGUGAAGGAACUAGGCAAAAUGGUGCCGUAACUUCGGGAGAAGGCACGCUGAUAUGUAGGUGAAGCGACUUGCUCGUGGAGCUGAAAUCAGUCGAAGAUACCAGCUGGCUGCAACUGUUUAUUAAAAACACAGCACUGUGCAAACACGAAAGUGGACGUAUACGGUGUGACGCCUGCCCGGUGCCGGAAGGUUAAUUGAUGGGGUUAGCGGUAACGCGAAGCUCUUGAUCGAAGCCCCGGUAAACGGCGGCCGUAACUAUAACGGUCCUAAGGUAGCGAAAUUCCUUGUCGGGUAAGUUCCGACCUGCACGAAUGGCGUAAUGAUGGCCAGGCUGUCUCCACCCGAGACUCAGUGAAAUUGAACUCGCUGUGAAGAUGCAGUGUACCCGCGGCAAGACGGAAAGACCCCGUGAACCUUUACUAUAGCUUGACACUGAACAUUGAGCCUUGAUGUGUAGGAUAGGUGGGAGGCUUUGAAGUGUGGACGCCAGUCUGCAUGGAGCCGACCUUGAAAUACCACCCUUUAAUGUUUGAUGUUCUAACGUUGGCCCGUAAUCCGGGUUGCGGACAGUGUCUGGUGGGUAGUUUGACUGGGGCGGUCUCCUCCUAAAGAGUAACGGAGGAGCACGAAGGUUGGCUAAUCCUGGUCGGACAUCAGGAGGUUAGUGCAAUGGCAUAAGCCAGCUUGACUGCGAGCGUGACGGCGCGAGCAGGUGCGAAAGCAGGUCAUAGUGAUCCGGUGGUUCUGAAUGGAAGGGCCAUCGCUCAACGGAUAAAAGGUACUCCGGGGAUAACAGGCUGAUACCGCCCAAGAGUUCAUAUCGACGGCGGUGUUUGGCACCUCGAUGUCGGCUCAUCACAUCCUGGGGCUGAAGUAGGUCCCAAGGGUAUGGCUGUUCGCCAUUUAAAGUGGUACGCGAGCUGGGUUUAGAACGUCGUGAGACAGUUCGGUCCCUAUCUGCCGUGGGCGCUGGAGAACUGAGGGGGGCUGCUCCUAGUACGAGAGGACCGGAGUGGACGCAUCACUGGUGUUCGGGUUGUCAUGCCAAUGGCACUGCCCGGUAGCUAAAUGCGGAAGAGAUAAGUGCUGAAAGCAUCUAAGCACGAAACUUGCCCCGAGAUGAGUUCUCCCUGACUCCUUGAGAGUCCUGAAGGAACGUUGAAGACGACGACGUUGAUAGGCCGGGUGUGUAAGCGCAGCGAUGCGUUGAGCUAACCGGUACUAAUGAACCGUGAGGCUUAACCUUACAACGCCGAAG